RNAcentral lists this long non-coding RNA (294 nucleotides) under Pan troglodytes (chimpanzee). RNAcentral describes it as "lincRNA". The record is from RNAcentral. Lineage: Eukaryota; Metazoa; Chordata; Mammalia; Primates; Hominidae.
GAACGCCGGCCCGCUCUGUGCCACCCUCUCCCCAAGCCCCCGGGAGGAGGCCUCACCACCGUGCCCAGAGCAGCACAGUGAGUCAGAGAUGAAGCUCUUGUCCCACUUGCCGCAACCCUCGAGCCCUGCUUCCCAGGUCCGCGUUCCCAGGCAGCCUGCCACAGCCAGUGCCAGUGAGAGAGUGGAUCAGGCUUCAGGAUAGCCCAGCACUGAGGACAUCCAAAACAGUCUUCAUUUAUUUAUUUAUUGUUCAUAGUGUCCAAAAGUUGGAAUUAAAGUGAAUGGCUGAAUCAA